Molecule: ribosomal RNA, 730 nt
Filed under: uncultured Alphaproteobacteria bacterium
Lineage: Bacteria; Pseudomonadati; Pseudomonadota; Alphaproteobacteria
Description: bacterial SSU rRNA
Rfam family: Bacterial small subunit ribosomal RNA
Source: RNAcentral
AGUAACGCGUGGGAAUAUGCCCUUCUCUAAGGAAUAGCCUCUGGAAACGGAGAGUAAUACCUUAUACGCCCUUUGGGGGAAAGAUUUAUCGGAGAAGGAUUAGCCCGCGUUAGAUUAGGUAGUUGGUGGGGUAAUGGCCUACCAAGCCUACGAUCUAUAGCUGGUUUGAGAGGAUGAUCAGCCACACUGGGACUGAGACACGGCCCAGACUCCUACGGGAGGCAGCAGUAGGGAAUCUUAGACAAUGGGGGCAACCCUGAUCUAGCCAUGCCGCGUGUGUGAUGAAGGCCCUAGGGUCGUAAAGCACUUUCGCCAGAGAUGAUAAUGACAGUAUCUGGUAAAGAAACCCCGGCUAACUCCGUGCCAGCAGCCGCGGUAAUACGGAGGGGGUUAGCGUUGUUCGGAAUUACUGGGCGUAAAGCGCACGUAGGCGGAUUAGUAAGUUAGAGGUGAAAUCCCAGGGCUCAACCCUGGAACUGCCUUUAAUACUGCUAGUCUUGAGUUCGAGAGAGGUAAGUGGAAUUCCGAGUGUAGAGGUGAAAUUCGUAGAUAUUCGGAGGAACACCAGUGGCGAAGGCGGCUUACUGGCUCGAUACUGACGCUGAGGUGCGAAAGUGUGGGGAGCAAACAGGAUUAGAUACCCUGGUAGUCCACACCGUAAACGAUGAAUGCCAGACGUCAGCAAGUAUACUUGUUGGUGUCACACCUAACGGAUUAAGCAUCCCGCCUG